RNAcentral lists this ribosomal RNA (463 nucleotides) under uncultured bacterium. Its description in RNAcentral is "bacterial SSU rRNA". It matches the Rfam family "Bacterial small subunit ribosomal RNA", at positions 349 to 793 of the family's 1533-position model. The record is from RNAcentral.
CAGCAGUGGGGAAUAUUGCACAAUGGGGGAAACCCUGAUGCAGCCAUGCCGCGUGUGUGAAGAAGGCCUUCGGGUUGUAAAGCACUUUCAGUAGGGAGGAAGGUAGUGUAGUUAACACCUGCAUUAUUUGACGUUACCUACAGAAGAAGCACCGGCUAACUCCGUGCCAGCAGCCGCGGUAAUACGGAGGGUGCGAGCGUUAAUCGGAAUUACUGGGACGUAAAGCGCAUGCAGGCGGCCUGUUAAGUCAGAUGUAGAAAAGGCCCGGGGACUUUAACCGUACGGUAAUUUGCUAUUUAGAAACUGGCAGGCUAGAGUCUUGUAGGGGGGUAGAAUUUCAGGUGUAGCGGUGAAAAUGCGUAGAGAUCUGAAGGAAUACCAGUGGCGAAGGCGGCCCCCUGGACAAAGACUGACGCUCAGAUGCGAAAGCGUGGGGAGCAAACAGGAUUAGAUACCCUGGUAG